CGUCGGUCCUCCCGCGACGAUACGUUGUAAACCCCGUCAGGCCCGGAAGGGAGCAGCGGUAGCAGCGGAUUCGGGUGCCGGGAUGUGGUUGGCGCCG
Non-coding RNA from Nitrococcus mobilis Nb-231, 97 nucleotides. It matches the Rfam family "Bacterial small signal recognition particle RNA". From Rfam's summary of the family: The signal recognition particle (SRP) is a universally conserved ribonucleoprotein involved in the co-translational targeting of proteins to membranes. NCBI's taxonomy places the organism in Bacteria, Pseudomonadati, Pseudomonadota, Gammaproteobacteria, Chromatiales, Ectothiorhodospiraceae. The record is from Rfam.